This 450-nucleotide ribosomal RNA is filed under the name uncultured bacterium. RNAcentral's name for it is "partial 16S ribosomal RNA". It matches the Rfam family "Bacterial small subunit ribosomal RNA", at positions 354 to 796 of the family's 1533-position model. The record is from RNAcentral.
GUGGGGAAUUUUGGACAAUGGGCGAAAGCCUGAUCCAGCCAUGCCGCGUGCAGGAUGAAGGCCUUCGGGUUGUAAACUGCUUUUGUACGGAACGAAAAGACUCUGGUUAAUACCUGGGGUCCAUGACGGUACCGUAAGAAUAAGCACCGGCUAACUACGUGCCAGCAGCCGCGGUAAUACGUAGGGUGCGCGCGUUAAUCGGAAUUACUGGGCGUAAAGCGUGCGCAGGCGGUGCUGUAAGACAGGCGUGAAAUCCCCGGGCUCAACCUGGGAAUUGCGCUUGUGACUGCAGUGCUGGAGUGCGGCAGAGGGGGAUGGAAUUCCGCGUGUAGCAGUGAAAUGCGUAGAUAUGCGGAGGAACACCGAUGGCGAAGGCAAUCCCCUGGGCCUGCACUGACGCUCAUGCACGAAAGCGUGGGGAGCAAACAGGAUUAGAUACCCUAGUAGUCC